AAUGAACGCUGGCGGCGCGCCUAAUACAUGCAAGUCGAGCGAGAAGACGUAGCAAUACGUUUGUAAAGCGGCGAACGGGUGAGGAAUACAUGGGUAACCUACCCUCGAGUGGGGAAUAACUAGCCGAAAGGUUAGCUAAUACCGCGUACGCUUCUUGGACUUCGGUUCAGGGAGGAAAGCGAUGCCGAGGGUAUCGCGCUCUUGGAUGGGCUCAUGUCCUAUCAGCUUGNGGUGAGGUAACGGCUCACCAAGGCUUCGACGGGUAGCUGGUCUGAGAGGACGAUCAGCCACACUGGCACUGCGACACGGGCCAGACUCCUACGGGAGGCAGCAGUAAGGAAUAUUGCGCAAUGGGCGAAAGCCUGACGCAGCGACGCCGCGUGGGGGAUGG
Molecule: ribosomal RNA, 391 nt
Filed under: uncultured bacterium
Lineage: Bacteria
Description: bacterial SSU rRNA
Rfam family: Bacterial small subunit ribosomal RNA
Source: RNAcentral